Non-coding RNA from Schistosoma mansoni, 45 nucleotides. Lineage: Eukaryota; Metazoa; Platyhelminthes; Trematoda; Strigeidida; Schistosomatidae. The record is from Rfam.
AUCCAGCUGAUGAGCUCCCAAAAAGGUGAAACGCGUGUCCUGGAU